ACACAACCCCCUGUCCGUCAAACGUUCCGUUCAACUAACACACAAACGUACAACCAAAACAUUCCAUACACCCAACCCCAAUACCAAGAGCAUACCCCAUACCACCACCAACAAAUUGACCAUCAACCUGAGACUCAACAUCGCUUCUCACCCACCCCAUCAUCCUACCAAAGUCGCCUAAGCCAGAACACCCAACGAUCAUUCAACACCAACCGCCCCUCCUCCUACCGUAGCCAAGAAGCUCAAACCUCACAAAACCAAAACAUCCAACAACCUUAUCUCU
Molecule: long non-coding RNA, 283 nt
Filed under: Lathyrus oleraceus (garden pea)
Lineage: Eukaryota; Viridiplantae; Streptophyta; Magnoliopsida; Fabales; Fabaceae
Description: Pisum sativum (pea) long non-coding RNA (PSAT_LNC038220)
Source: RNAcentral